RNAcentral lists this long non-coding RNA (517 nucleotides) under Populus trichocarpa (black cottonwood). Its description in RNAcentral is "long non-coding RNA (PTRI_LNC004786)". Lineage: Eukaryota; Viridiplantae; Streptophyta; Magnoliopsida; Malpighiales; Salicaceae. The record is from RNAcentral.
UGUGGAGGGUUGAAUAAUGAUGAUAUGGUUUUUGGGAUGAGAAACCAGGAAUGAGUAAUCCACCAUGCUCGACGCCAUCCAGUCAUCUUUCCACAGGUGGACUUCUGCAUUUGUUUGACAGAGACGGAUAUCACUUCCACUGCAAGAGGCUGUGCAUGCCGGCCUUCCUCAUCUCAGAUGGUGCGAAUUCAAGUAACAUCAGAUCGCCCUGCCACCCGAUAAAGCUGCUCUUUUUCCAUGACCUUACAAAAUUUUGCGUUGUAACUUCUUAUUGUUAAAUCUCAACUUUUAAUUAUCUGUUUUGCUUUCCAAAUCAUUGACCAUUUGACAGUAAGCCGCAAGUUAUGUGGAUCGGUUCAACAUACAGGUCUAUUGUCGAAUCUUAUAAUUGAUACUUAUAACAUGGGGAUGAAUUAUUGGUGGCUGUCAUUCUUUAGUUAGGGGACUGGGUUUAUCCAAAUUUAUAUUAUUGUAUUUUUUAUUUGAGUUAUUUAUUGAGGUUUUAUAUAUAUUGAAC